GGUUAAGCGACUAAGCGUACACGGUGGAUGCCCUGGCAGUCAGAGGCGAUGAAGGGCGUGCUAAUCUGCGAUAAGCGCCGGUAAGGUGAUAUGAACCGUUAUAACCGGCGAUACCCGAAUGGGGAAACCCAGUGUGAUUCGUCACACUAUCAUUAACUGAAUCCAUAGGUUAAUGAGGCGAACCGGGGGAACUGAAACAUCUAAGUACCCCGAGGAAAAGAAAUCAACCGAGAUUCCCCCAGUAGCGGCGAGCGAACGGGGAGGAGCCCAGAGCCUGAAUCAGCAUGUGUGUUAGUGGAAGCGUCUGGAAAGGCGCGCGAUACAGGGUGACAGCCCCGUACACAAAAGCGCAUGUGCUGUGAGCUCGAUGAGUAGGGCGGGACACGUGGUAUCCUGUCUGAAUAUGGGGGGACCAUCCUCCAAGGCUAAAUACUCCUGACUGACCGAUAGUGAACCAGUACCGUGAGGGAAAGGCGAAAAGAACCCCGGCGAGGGGAGUGAAAAAGAACCUGAAACCGUGUACGUACAAGCAGUGGGAGCACAGGUUUACCUGUGUGACUGCGUACCUUUUGUAUAAUGGGUCAGCGACUUAUAUUCUGUAGCAAGGUUAACCGUAUAGGGGAGCCGGAGGGAAACCGAGUCUUAAUUGGGCGUUAAGUUGCAGGGUAUAGACCCGAAACCCGGUGAUCUAGCCAUGGGCAGGUUGAAGGUUGGGUAACACUAACUGGAGGACCGAACCGACUAAUGUUGAAAAAUUAGCGGAUGACCUGUGGCUGGGGGUGAAAGGCCAAUCAAACCGGGAGAUAGCUGGUUCUCCCCGAAAGCUAUUUAGGUAGCGCCUCGUGAAUUCAUCUCCGGGGGUAGAGCACUGUUUCGGCUAGGGGGCCAUCCCGGCUUACCAACCCGAUGCAAACUGCGAAUACCGGAGAAUGUUAUCACGGGAGACACACGGCGGGUGCUAACGUCCGUCGUGAAGAGGGAAACAACCCAGACCGCCAGCUAAGGUCCCAAAGUCAUGGUUAAGUGGGAAACGAUGUGGGAAGGCCCAGACAGCCAGGAUGUUGGCUUAGAAGCAGCCAUCAUUUAAAGAAAGCGUAAUAGCUCACUGGUCGAGUCGG
This 1118-nucleotide ribosomal RNA is filed under the name Salmonella enterica subsp. enterica serovar Stanley str. ATCC 7308. RNAcentral describes it as "bacterial LSU rRNA". It matches the Rfam family "Bacterial large subunit ribosomal RNA", at positions 1 to 1157 of the family's 2925-position model. Lineage: Bacteria; Pseudomonadati; Pseudomonadota; Gammaproteobacteria; Enterobacterales; Enterobacteriaceae. The record is from RNAcentral.